RNAcentral lists this ribosomal RNA (226 nucleotides) under uncultured bacterium. RNAcentral describes it as "partial 16S ribosomal RNA". It matches the Rfam family "Bacterial small subunit ribosomal RNA", at positions 28 to 250 of the family's 1533-position model. The record is from RNAcentral.
GACGAACGUUGGCGGCGUGCCUAAUACAUGCAAGUCAACUGAAAUACCGGUAGCAAUACUGGUAUGGAGUGGCGCACGGGUGAGUAACACGUAGGUAAUCUGCCUUCAGGUCUGACAUAACCCAUCGAAAGGUGAGCUAAUAUCAGAUGAUGCAGCGGCUUGACAUCAAGACAGUUGUUAAAGCUUCGGCGCCUUGAAGAUCGAGCCNGCGUCUGAUUAGCUAGUU